GGGUACCAUCAUUCCUCAUUCUUGUUUGAUUUCAUUCCCCAGCCCUACCUGCCCCCAAUGAACGGCAUCUUCAGGAACUGGAGACUCUGAAUGGGGGCUAAAUUACAGAGCUACUCAUCCUUGGAACCACCAGGCCUAAAGCCCUUCUCACAACAGGAGUGUACUGAGAAUGUGGGGCAGCUCCAAAGACAAGCCUCUCUGGUUUCACAAGCUCCUGGAUACCAGGGUGAAAGGGGCAUGUCCAGAGAAGCCAGUGAUUAUAAGAAGCAAGAGGCUGGAGUGUGACCUCCAAAUGGAAAGAGCAAGAUGAAGGACAUAAACAUGCUCUGGGUGUGAGGUAAGUACCUGAUAUGGAAUCUACCCUGAGCUAGGAGUGGGAGACCAGGGCAAAUUAGGAAGGCUUUGCCAGGAAUUCACUGAUUUAUAGGAGUAAAAGCCUUAUAAGCCUAUCAAAUAAAGUCUAC
RNAcentral lists this long non-coding RNA (464 nucleotides) under Ictidomys tridecemlineatus (thirteen-lined ground squirrel). RNAcentral's name for it is "lncRNA (ENSSTOG00000029841.1)". Lineage: Eukaryota; Metazoa; Chordata; Mammalia; Rodentia; Sciuridae. The record is from RNAcentral.